UGGGGAAUCUUAGACAAUGGGGGCAACCCUGAUCUAGCCAUGCCGCGUGAGUGAUGAAGGCCUUAGGGUCGUAAAGCUCUUUCGCUGGGGAAGAUAAUGACGGUACCCAGUAAAGAAACCCCGGCUAACUCCGUGCCAGCAGCCGCGGUAAUACGGAGGGGGUUAGCGUUGUUCGGAAUUACUGGGCGUAAAGCACGCGUAGGCGGACUGGAAAGUUGGGGGUGAAAUCCCGGGGCUCAACCUCGGAACUGCCUUUGAUACUGCCAGUCUUGAGUUCGGGAGAGGUGAGCGGAAUACCGAGUGUAGAGGUGAAAUUCGUAGAUAUUCGGUGGAACACCAGUGGCGAAGGCGGCUAACUGGACUGGUACUGACGCUGAGGUGCGAAAGUGUGGGGAGCAAACAGG
RNAcentral lists this ribosomal RNA (404 nucleotides) under uncultured bacterium. RNAcentral's name for it is "bacterial SSU rRNA". It matches the Rfam family "Bacterial small subunit ribosomal RNA", at positions 355 to 776 of the family's 1533-position model. The record is from RNAcentral.